CCUACGGGAGGCAGCAGUGAGGAAUAUUGGUCAAUGGACGAGAGUCUGAACCAGCCAAGUAGCGUGAAGGAUGACUGCCCUAUGGGUUGUAAACUUCUUUUAUAUGGGAAUAAAAUGUUCCACGUGUGGGAUUUUGUAUGUACCAUAUGAAUAAGGAUCGGCUAACUCCGUGCCAGCAGCCGCGGUAAUACGGAGGAUCCGAGCGUUAUCCGGAUUUAUUGGGUUUAAAGGGAGCGUAGGUGGAUUGUUAAGUCAGUUGUGAAAGUUUGCGGCUCAACCGUAAAAUUGCAGUUGAAACUGGCAGUCUUGAGUACAGUAGAGGUGGGCGGAAUUCGUGGUGUAGCGGUGAAAUGCUUAGAUAUCACGAAGAACUCCGAUUGCGAAGGCAGUUCACUGGACUGCAACUGACACUGAGGCUCGAAGGUGUGGGUAUCAAACAGGAUUAGAUACCCCUGUAGUC
This 460-nucleotide ribosomal RNA is filed under the name uncultured bacterium. RNAcentral's name for it is "partial 16S ribosomal RNA". It matches the Rfam family "Bacterial small subunit ribosomal RNA", at positions 338 to 795 of the family's 1533-position model. The record is from RNAcentral.